GAUGAACGCUGGCGGCGUGCCUAAUACAUGCAAGUCGAGCGAACAGACGAGGAGCUUGCUCCUCUGACGUUAGCGGCGGACGGGUGAGUAACACGUGGAUAACCUACCUAUAAGACUGGGAUAACUUCGGGAAACCGGAGCUAAUACCGGAUAAUAUAUUGAACCGCAUGGUUCAAUAGUGAAAGACGGUUUUGCGGUCACUUAUAGAUGGAUCCGCGCCGCAUUAGCUAGUUGGUAAGGUAACGGCUUACCAAGGCAACGAUGCGUAGCCGACCUGAGAGCGUGAUCGGACACCCUGUAACUGAGACACGGUCCCGACUCCUACGGGAGGCAGCAGCAGGGACUCUUCCGCAAUGGGCCAAAGCCUGACGGAGCACCGCCGCGUGAGUGCUGAAGCUCCUCUGCUCGUAAAACUCUGUUAUUCGGGAAGAACAAAUGUGUAAGUAACUAUGCACGUCUUGACGGUACCUAAUCAGAAAGCCCCGGCUAACUACGUG
RNAcentral lists this ribosomal RNA (497 nucleotides) under uncultured bacterium. RNAcentral's name for it is "partial 16S ribosomal RNA". It matches the Rfam family "Bacterial small subunit ribosomal RNA", at positions 28 to 507 of the family's 1533-position model. The record is from RNAcentral.